This 1531-nucleotide ribosomal RNA is filed under the name Mycoplasmopsis pulmonis. Its description in RNAcentral is "Mycoplasma pulmonis 16S ribosomal RNA". It matches the Rfam family "Bacterial small subunit ribosomal RNA". RNAcentral also lists the same sequence under 1 other name. Lineage: Bacteria; Bacillati; Mycoplasmatota; Mycoplasmoidales; Metamycoplasmataceae. The record is from RNAcentral.
CAAUUUUUUUGAGAGUUUGAUCCUGGCUCAGGAUGAACGCUGGCUGUGUGCCUAAUACAUGCAUGUCGAGCGGAGUAUUAAUUUAUUAGUGCUUAGCGGCAAAUGGGUGAGUAACACGUAUUUAACCUACCUCAAAGACUGGGAUAACAACAGGAAACUGUUGCUAAUACCGGAUAUGUAUUUAGAUCGCAUGAUUUAGAUAUCAAAGGAGCGUUUGCUUCACUUUGAAAUGGGAGUGCGUUACAUUAGCUAGUUGGUAGGGUAAUGGCCUACCAAGGCGAUGAUGUAUAGCUGAGUUGAGAGACUGAACAGCCACACUGGGACUGAGAUACGGCCCAGACUCCUACGGGAGGCAGCAGUAGGGAAUUUUCCACAAUGGACGAAAGUCUGAUGGAGUGACACAGCGUGCAGGAUGAAGGUCUUCGGAUUGUAAACUGCUGUUAUAAGGGAAGAAAAGCUUAGGGAGGAAAUGCCCUAAGUAUGACGGUACCUUGUCAGAAAGCACCGGCUAACUAUGUGCCAGCAGCCGCGGUAAUACAUAGGGUGCAAGCGUUAUCCGAAAUUAUUGGGUGUAAAGAGUUCGUAGGUUGUUUGUUAAGUCAGAAGUUAAAUCCCGGGGCUCAACCCUGGCCCGCUUUUGAUACUAGCAAACUAGAGUUAUAAAGAGGUUAGUGGAAUUCCUAGUGAAGCGGUGAAAUGUGUAGAUAUUAGGAAGAACAUCAAUGGCGAAGGCAGCUAACUGGUUAUGUACUGACACUGAGGAACGAAAGCGUGGGGAGCAAACAGGAUUAGAUACCCUGGUAGUCCACGCCGUAAACGAUGAUCAUUAGCUGGUGGAAUUUUUCACUAGCGCAGCUAACGCAUUAAAUGAUCCACCUGAGUAGUAUGCUCGCAAGAGUGAAACUUAAAGGAAUUGACGGGGACCCGCACAAGCGGUGGAGCAUGUGGUUUAAUUUGACGAUACGCGUAGAACCUUACCCACUCUUGACAUCCUUCGCAAAGCUAUAGAGAUAUAGUGGAGGUUAACGGAGUGACAGAUGGUGCAUGGUUGUCGUCAGCUCGUGUCGUGAGAUGUUCGGUUAAGUCCUGCAACGAGCGCAACCCCUAUCUUUAAUUACUACAUUAAGUUGAGGACUUUAAAGAUACUGACCAAGCAAUUGGUAGGAAGGUGGGGAUGACGUCAAAUCAUCAUGCCUCUUACGAGUGGGGCAACACACGUGCUACAAUGGCCGGUACAAAGAGAAGCAAGAUGGUGACAUGGAGCAAAUCUCAAAAAACCGGUCUCAGUUCGGAUUGAAGUCUGCAACUCGACUUCAUGAAGUUGGAAUCGCUAGUAAUCGUAGAUCAGCUACGCUACGGUGAAUACGUUCUCGGGUCUUGUACACACCGCCCGUCACACCAUGGGAGCUGGUAAUGCCCAAAGUCGGUUUAGCUAACCUCGGAGGCGACUGUCUAAGGCAGGACUGGUGACUGGGGUGAAGUCGUAACAAGGUAUCCCUACGAGAACGUGGGGAUGGAUCACCUCCUUUCU